AUACGGAGGGUCCAAGCGUUAUCCGGAAUCAUUGGGCUUAAAGGGUCCGCAGGCGGUCAAUUAAGUCAGAGGUGAAAGCCCAUCGCUCAACGAUGGAACUGCCUUUGAUACUGGUUGACUUGAGUUAUACGGAAGUAGAUAGAAUAAGUAGUGUAGCGGUGAAAUGCAUAGAUAUUACUUAGAAUACCGAUUGCGAAGGCAGUCUACUACGUAUAUACUGACGCUGAGGGACGAAAGCGUGGGGAGCGAACAGGAUUAGAUACCCGGGUAGUCC
Molecule: ribosomal RNA, 274 nt
Filed under: uncultured bacterium
Lineage: Bacteria
Description: partial 16S ribosomal RNA
Rfam family: Bacterial small subunit ribosomal RNA
Source: RNAcentral